UACAGCGGUCUCAAGCGUUGUUCGGAUUCAUUGGGCGUAAAGGGUGUGUAGGUGGCGCCGUAAGUCGGGUGUGAAAUUUCGGAGCUUAACUCCGAAACUGCAUUCGAUACUGCGGUGCUUGAGGACUGGAGAGGAGACUGGAAUUCAUGGUGUAGCAGUGAAAUGCGUAGAGAUCAUGAGGAAGACCAGUGGCGAAGGCGGGUCUCUGGACAGUUCCUGACACUGAGACACGAAGGCCAGGGGAGCAAACGGG
RNAcentral lists this ribosomal RNA (253 nucleotides) under uncultured bacterium. RNAcentral's name for it is "partial 16S ribosomal RNA". It matches the Rfam family "Bacterial small subunit ribosomal RNA", at positions 524 to 776 of the family's 1533-position model. The record is from RNAcentral.